RNAcentral lists this transfer RNA (71 nucleotides) under Rikenellaceae bacterium. RNAcentral's name for it is "tRNA-Trp". It matches the Rfam family "tRNA". From Rfam's summary of the family: Transfer RNA (tRNA) molecules are approximately 80 nucleotides in length. The record is from RNAcentral. Lineage: Bacteria; Pseudomonadati; Bacteroidota; Bacteroidia; Bacteroidales; Rikenellaceae.
ACGGGUGUAGUUUAAUGGUAGAAUAGUGGUCUCCAAAACCAUUGAUGGGAGUUCGAUUCUCUCCGCCCGUG